AGCUCACUAGUCGAAUGACUCUGCGCCGAUAAUUUACCGGGGCUAAGUAUAUUACCGAAGCUAUGGAUUUGCCAGAGGCAAGUGGUAGGGGAGCGUUCUAUGAGCGAAGAAGCGGUACCGGAAGGAGCCGUGGAGCGCAUAGAAGAGAGAAUGCCGGUGUGAGUAGCGGAACGUGGGUGAGAAUCCCACGCACCGAAAACCCAAGGUUUCCAGAGGAAGGUUCGUCCGCUCUGGGUAAGUCGGGACCUAAGGCGAGGCCGAGAGGCGUAGUCGAUGGACAACAGGUAGAGAUUCCUGUACUUACGGUAUGAAUGAAGGAGUGACGGAGAAGGCUAGCGGAUCCUGCUGCUGGAAUAGCAGGUGCAAGCGAAGUAGCCGACAGCCAGGCAAAUCCGGCUGUCAGAGGCAAAGGCGUGAAGCGGAUGGAAAGCUGAGGCAAGUACAGAAGUCCGUGAAGCAGGCUUCCAAGAAAAGCUUCUAGUGUUAAUCAUACAGUAACCCGUACCGAAAAUGGACACACAUGGGUGAGGAGAGAAUCCUAAGGUGAGCGAGAGAACUAUAGCUAAGGAACUCUGCAAAAUGACUCCGUAACUUAGGGAGAAGGAGUGCUCAUAGAGAUAUGAGCCGCAGUGAAACGGCCCAAGCGACUGUUUACCAAAAACACAGCUCUAUGCUAAGUCGAAAGACGAUGUAUAUGGGGUGACGCCUGCCCGGUGCUGGAAGGUUAAGAGGAUGUGUCAGCGCAAGCGAAGCACUGAAUUGAAGCCCCAGUAAACGGCGGCCGUAACUAUAACGGUCCUAAGGUAGCGAAAUUCCUUGUCGGGCAAGUUCCGACCCGCACGAAAGGCGUAACGAUUUGGGCGCUGUCUCAGCUGUAGACUCGGUGAAGUCUUAGUACCUGUGAAGAUGCAGGUUGCCCGCGACUAGACGGAAAGACCCCAUGGAGCUUCACUGCAGGUUGACAUUGGGCUUGGAUGCAUGAUGUACAGGAUAGGUGGGAGGCUGUGAGCCGUGCGCGCCAGCGUACGGGGAGCCGCUGUUGGGAUACCACCCUUCAUGCAUCUAGGUCCUAACCGGAGGCAACGGGCCACGGGACAGUGUCAGUCGGGCAGUUUGACUGGGGCGGUCGCCUCCCAAAGAGUAACGGAGGCGCCCAAAGAUACCCUCAGCAUGGAUGGAAACCAUGCAUAGAGUGCAAAGGCAUAAGGGUGUCUGACUGCGAGACAUACAGGUCGAGCAGGGACGAAAGUCGGGCUUAGUGAUCCGGCGGAUCCGAAUGGAAGGGCCGUCGCUCAACGGAUAAAAGCUACCCUGGGGAUAACAGGCUGAUCUCCCCCAAGAGUUCACAUCGACGGGGAGGUUUGGCACCUCGAUGUCGGCUCAUCGCAUCCUGGAGCUGAAGUCGGUUCCAAGGGUUGGGCUGUUCGCCCAUUAAAGCGGUACGCGAGCUGGGUUCAGAACGUCGUGAGACAGUUCGGUCCCUAUCUGUCGUGGGCGCAGGAGGUUUGAGGAGAGCUGCCCCUAGUACGAGAGGACCGGGGUGGACGGACCGAUGGUGCACCAGUUGUCACGCCAGUGGCACAGCUGGGCAGCCAAGUCCGGACGGGAUAAGCGCUGAAGGCAUCUAAGCGUGAAGCCCCCUCCAAGAUGAGACCUCCCAUUGG
RNAcentral lists this ribosomal RNA (1664 nucleotides) under human gut metagenome. Its description in RNAcentral is "bacterial LSU rRNA". It matches the Rfam family "Bacterial large subunit ribosomal RNA", at positions 1139 to 2820 of the family's 2925-position model. The record is from RNAcentral.